RNAcentral lists this transfer RNA (69 nucleotides) under Allobates chalcopis (Martinique volcano frog). Its description in RNAcentral is "tRNA-Ala". Lineage: Eukaryota; Metazoa; Chordata; Amphibia; Anura; Aromobatidae. The record is from RNAcentral.
AAGGCUUUAUCUUAAUAAAAGUAUUUGAGUUGCAUUCAGAAGAUGAGGAGUAAUUAUCCUCAAGCCUUA